GGAAAAGGUCUUGAGAGGCAUGGAAGGACGAAUAAAAGGACGUAAGGAGGAGAGUGGAGGUGCACCUCAGUUUAUUCAAAGGAUAUAUUUCUCACAUGGAAACAUGUCGAUGAAUGACUUAUGGAUUAUCACUGGCGUUGGGCUCCCACCAUUGGAUAAAACCCAAGGCUGACUUACGAAUGCAGUGUUCUGCUGCAGGACAUAAAAACCCUGAAAGGAAUGUGCCUUCACAACUAGGCACGCUCGGCUGGGGCGACGGAUGGAGAAGAUCUAAAUGGAGGGCAUCAACAGUGAUGAGAAGGAAAGGUUGAUGGCCAGAUCGGGAAGAGAGGGUUUGAAGCGUCCUUAAAUGCUGCCCUGAAUGUGGAAGACUUAAAGAUUCAAAGAUUUUUAUUGUCAUUUACACACGCCCUGUGUAUUGAAAUUCUUGUGCUUGCCAUUCCGGAAAGCCGACCAAUUUUAGAAUUAAAAUAAAAAUACAAUAUUUACAUAAAUGU
This is a long non-coding RNA of Gasterosteus aculeatus aculeatus (three-spined stickleback), 497 nucleotides long. Lineage: Eukaryota; Metazoa; Chordata; Actinopteri; Perciformes; Gasterosteidae. The record is from Ensembl.